GGAGAAGUACUCAAGAGGCUGAAGAGGCUCCCCUGCUAAGGGAGUAGGUCCUUUAUUAGGGCGCGAGGGUUCAAAUCCCUCCUUCUCCGCCA
This 92-nucleotide transfer RNA is filed under the name Keratinibaculum paraultunense. Its description in RNAcentral is "tRNA-Ser". It matches the Rfam family "tRNA". From Rfam's summary of the family: Transfer RNA (tRNA) molecules are approximately 80 nucleotides in length. Their secondary structure includes four short double-helical elements and three loops (D, anti-codon, and T loops). RNAcentral also lists the same sequence under 1 other name. The record is from RNAcentral. Lineage: Bacteria; Bacillati; Bacillota; Tissierellia; Tissierellales; Tepidimicrobiaceae.